GUGCUCACUUUGGCAGUACAUAUACUAAAAUUGGAAUGAUACAAAGAAGGAUCAUCAUGGCUCCAGAGCAAGGAUGACACACAAAUCCAUGAAGCACUCUAUACUUAA
Mesocricetus auratus (golden hamster) is the source of this 108-nucleotide small nuclear RNA. The record is from Ensembl. Lineage: Eukaryota; Metazoa; Chordata; Mammalia; Rodentia; Cricetidae.